AAGCAAGCAGGUGUCCUUGGGUAAACUGUCUGUUCUGGGAAUAACACAGUAAAGGAAGGGAACUAUGCAGCCUGGAAAUACCCCAGUCAAAAGGGAGAA
Dermochelys coriacea (leatherback sea turtle) is the source of this 99-nucleotide long non-coding RNA. RefSeq lists it as uncharacterized. The transcript has 3 exons. Lineage: Eukaryota; Metazoa; Chordata; Testudines; Dermochelyidae. The record is from RefSeq and is a predicted model, not a curated record.